RNAcentral lists this long non-coding RNA (1034 nucleotides) under Olea europaea subsp. europaea. The record is from RNAcentral. Lineage: Eukaryota; Viridiplantae; Streptophyta; Magnoliopsida; Lamiales; Oleaceae.
CAUCAAUCCACAUCGUGAAUUGAGACUGCACGAACCCACCAUCCUAACAAUAUGCACCUGUACAUGUUGUCAUUUAUGUAUCUUAUUACGUCAUGAGGCUAAGAAGUAGAGAUUAAGGAUUUAGACAUUUUAGUUUUCUUAAACAUGUUGUAUUGCAUAUAUUAGAAGCUUUACAAUUUUGUUGAAUUAUUCUAACUUUCGUUACUCUGACGUGGCAUGGCAGCAAAUCAGUGGUAUGACUUUGACGACAGCCAUGUGUCUCCCAUCAGUGAGGACAAGAUCAAAACUUCGGCUGCCUAUGUUUUAUUUUACAGGAGAGUCGAAGAUAUCUAACUUUAGAUGACAGCAACUGACUAUUGAAGGUUGAUUCAUCUCUUUAACAGGUAGUCUCGGAAGAAUUGCAUUAAAGGGUGUAUUCUUUUCUCUUGGGUGUCGUAUGCUUUCUAGUUCAUAAGACUGAAAACCUAUAGAAUAGAAGGAUGCCGAGGAUGGUGUAAGUACAAUACAACAAACUGAAAUUAGAAGUUCAUAUUAAGAAGGAACGAGUUUUACCCCUAAGGCUUUUUGUUGUGGAUGAGUUUUACCUUUAUUUUUCUCUAAAAAGGUAAAGACUAGCCUUGAAAAAGUUGCUCUGCAAAUUUAACAGUAUACUUUUCAAGAAUCCCGGGGUACCAACCUGUUGGAAUUUCGAAAUUUGUACAAUGCACAACUACAAUGAAAACGGUGUUUAUUUUUGUGCUUUUUUGGUGUUGAAUUACUUGUGUGACGAGUCCCUUGCUUUCCUUUCUCCAGCGUUUUACAUAUUACACUUUCUAACUUCAAUGCUACUUGAUGAUGAUCUUGAUGCAGCGGUACACUCGAGAAUGUGUUGUCUUAGUGGUUUGUUACCAUGCAGUUGGAUUCAAACUUCACUGUGGCUCUCCGAGCUUAUGAACUUCUUGUAGUAGUGGUCUUUACAAGAAUUUUGCUAGUGUUUUUGGUAUUUAUUUCCUCGUUUUUGUUCUUUAGAAUAGACUCCAUAUGGAGAAAACUAA